CCUACGGGUGGCACCAGUGGGGAAUAUUGCACAAUGGCGCAAGCCUGAUGCAGCCAUGCCGCGUGUAUGAAGAAGGCCUUCGGGUUGUAAAGUACUUUCAGCGGGGAGGAAGGUGUUGUGGUUAAUAACCGCAGCAAUUGACGUUACCCGCAGAAGAGGCACCGGCUAACUCCGUGCCAGCAGCCGCGGUAAUACGGAGGGUGCGAGCGUUAAUCGGAGUUACUGGGCGUAAAGCGCACGCAGGCGGUCUGUCAAGUCGGAUGUGAAAUCCCCGGGCUCAACCUGGGAACUGCAUUCGAAACUGGCAGGCUAGAGUCUUGUAGAGGGGGGUAGAAUUCCAGGUGUAGCGGUGAAAUGCGUAGAGAUCUGGAGGAAUACCGGUGGCGAAGGCGGCCCCCUGGACAGAGACUGACGCUCAGGUGCGAAAGCGUGGGGAGCAAACAGGAUUAGAUACCCCUGUAGUC
This 464-nucleotide ribosomal RNA is filed under the name uncultured bacterium. RNAcentral describes it as "bacterial SSU rRNA". It matches the Rfam family "Bacterial small subunit ribosomal RNA", at positions 338 to 795 of the family's 1533-position model. The record is from RNAcentral.